GUCCUCUUUUAGAACUAGUGGAAAAAACUAAAAGUUGAAAUGAAAGCUUUAAAACGUGCAUCUAUAGUACAAUACUAUGAGACGGUGAAAUAUUUAUCAAGAGUCGUUCUUUUAGAACUAGUGGAAACAACCAAAAGAAAAAACAGUGAAUCUAUUAUACCUACAAAUCCGCGCACCCCCCUACAAAUGGUAUCAGAGCACAGUAAUUUAAAAAGUACGGAAGAGAUAUAUAUUAGAGUUAGAGUUAUAAAAGAAUUAAAGUUAAAAAAUUACCUACGAAAAAAUUAAAUUAAUUAUGCGAAGACCAUUUAAAAAUAGAGAAGCUUUUAGAAAAAUUAAAGAAUCAUUAAUUAGUAAUUAUUCAGAAUAUAUAAGUCUAAAUAAAACAAAAGAAAAUCCACAAAAACUAGCCUAUUUAAUUACAUUAAUAUCUAGUAUUGAAUCAAAGUUAAUAACACAUUUAAAAUCUAGAAGAAUGAAACAUAUACCGCCUAAUUAUAAUAAAAUUAGAUUUAGAUAUCCACCAAGAUAUUAUAAAUAUAAUUUAAAAUGAAUAAAAUACAAC
This 565-nucleotide long non-coding RNA is filed under the name Capsicum annuum. RNAcentral's name for it is "long non-coding RNA (CANN_LNC019380)". The record is from RNAcentral. Lineage: Eukaryota; Viridiplantae; Streptophyta; Magnoliopsida; Solanales; Solanaceae.